RNAcentral lists this ribosomal RNA (549 nucleotides) under uncultured archaeon. RNAcentral's name for it is "bacterial SSU rRNA". It matches the Rfam family "Archaeal small subunit ribosomal RNA", at positions 330 to 879 of the family's 1478-position model. The record is from RNAcentral.
GCGCAGCAGGCGCGAAAACUUUACCAUGCCGGCAACGGCGAUAAGGGAACCUCGAGUGCCAGGUUACAAAUCUGGCUGUCGUGAUGCCUAAAAAGCAUUGCAUAGCAAGGGCCGGGCAAGACCGGUGCCAGCCGCCGCGGUAACACCGGCGGCUCGAGUGGUAACCGUUAUUAUUGGGUCUAAAGGGUCUGUAGCCGGCCGGGUAAGUCUCUUGGGAAAUCUGGCAGCUUAACUGUCAGGCUUUCAGGAGAUACUGCCUGGCUCGAGGCCGGGAGAGGUGAGAGGUACUUCAGGGGUAGGGGUGAAAUCUUGUAAUCCUUGAAGGACCACCAGUGGCGAAGGCGUCUCACCAGAACGGACCUGACGGCAAGGGACGAAAGCUAGGGGCACGAACCGGAUUAGAUACCCGGGUAGUCCUAGCCGUAAACGAUACUCGCUAGGUGUCGGCCACGGUGCGACCGUGGUCGGUGCCGUAGGGAAGCCGUGAAGCGAGCCACCUGGGAAGUACGGCCGCAAGGCUGAAACUUAAAGGAAUUGGCGGGGGAGCAC